This 479-nucleotide ribosomal RNA is filed under the name uncultured bacterium. RNAcentral describes it as "partial 16S ribosomal RNA". It matches the Rfam family "Bacterial small subunit ribosomal RNA", at positions 28 to 507 of the family's 1533-position model. The record is from RNAcentral.
GAUGAACGCUAGCGGGAGGCCUAACACAUGCAAGCCGAGCGGUAUUGUUUCUUCGGAAAUGAGAGAGCGGCGUACGGGUGCGUAACACGUGUGCAACCUGCCUUUAUCUGGGGGAUAGCCUUUCGAAAGGAAGAUUAAUACUCCAUAAUAUAUUGAACGGCAUCGUUUAAUAUUGAAAGCUCCGGCGGAUAGAGAUGGGCACGCGCAAGAUUAGCUAGUUGGUGAGGUAACGGCUCACCAAGGCGAUGAUCUCUAGGGGGCCUGAGAGGGUGAUCCCCCACACUGGUACUGAGACACGGACCAGACUCCUACGGGAGGCAGCAGUGAGGAAUAUUGGUCAAUGGGUGCAAGCCUGAACCAGCCAUCCCGUGUGAAGGACGACUGCCCUAUGGGUUGUAAACUUCUUUUGUAUAGGGAUAAACCUACCCUCGAGAGGGUAGCUGAAGGUACUAUACGAAUAAGCACCGGCUAACUCCGUG